Molecule: ribosomal RNA, 479 nt
Filed under: uncultured bacterium
Lineage: Bacteria
Description: partial 16S ribosomal RNA
Rfam family: Bacterial small subunit ribosomal RNA
Source: RNAcentral
GAUGAACGCUGGCGGCGUGCUUAACACAUGCAAGUCGAGCGAGAAGUUUUGAAAAGAUUCUUCGGAUGAAAUUUAAAAUGGAAAGCGGCGGACGGGUGAGUAACGCGUAGGCAACCUGCCCCAUACAAAGGGAUAGCAUUCGGAAACGAAUAUUAAUACCUUAUGAAACUUAACUAGUGCAUGCUAGGUAGGUCAAAGAUUUAUCGGUAUGGGAUGGGCCUGCGUCUGAUUAGCUAGUUGGUGAGGUAACGGCUCACCAAGGCGACGAUCAGUAGCCGACCUGAGAGGGUGAACGGCCACAUUGGAACUGAGACACGGUCCAAACUCCUACGGGAGGCAGCAGUGGGGAAUAUUGCACAAUGGGGGAAACCCUGAUGCAGCAACGCCGCGUGAACGAUGAAGGCCUUUGGGUCGUAAAGUUCUGUUCUAGGUGAUGAAAACUGACAGUAACCUAGGAGAAAGCCCCGGCUAACUCCGUG